GGAUGAACGCUAGCGGCAGGCCUAAUACAUGCAAGUCGAACGGUGUCUUCGGACAUAGUGGCGCACGGGUGCGUAACACGUAUGCAACCUACCUUACAUUGGGGGAUAGCCUUUCGAAAGGGAGAUUAAUACCGCAUAAGACAGUAGCUGGGCAUCCAGCAGCUGUUAAAGAUUUAUCGAUGUAAGAUGGGCAUGCGUCCAAUUAGUUAGUUGGCGAGGUAACGGCUCACCAAGACUUUGAUUGGUAGGGGAACUGAGAGGUCAAUCCCCCACACUGGCACUGAGAUACGGGCCAGACUCCUACGGGAGGCAGCAGUAGGGAAUAUUGGGCAAUGGACGCAAGUCUGACCCAGCCAUGCCGCGUGCAGGAUGAAGGCGUUAUGCGUUGUAAACUGCUUUUAUACAGGAAGAAACGACUCUUGCGAGAGGCAUUGACGGUACUGUAUGAAUAAGCACCGGCUAACUCCGUGCCAGCAGCCGCGGUAAUACGGAGGGUGCAAGCGUUGUCCGGAUUUAUUGGGUUUAAAGGGUGCGCAGGUGGUUUAUUAAGUCAGUGGUGAAAGACGGUCGCUCAACGAUUGCAGUGCCAUUGAAACUGGUAGACUUGAGUAAAGUAGAGGUGGGCGGAAUUUGAUAGUGUAGCGGUGAAAUGCAUAGAUAUUAUCAAGAACUCCAAUUGCGUAGGCAGCUCACUUGGCUUUUACUGACACUCAUGCACGAAAGUGUGGGUAUCAAACAGGAUUAGAUACCCUGGUAGUCCACACUGUAAACGAUGAUAACUAGGUGUCGGCCGAAUCUGGUCGGUGCCACAG
RNAcentral lists this ribosomal RNA (812 nucleotides) under uncultured Arcicella sp. Its description in RNAcentral is "bacterial SSU rRNA". It matches the Rfam family "Bacterial small subunit ribosomal RNA", at positions 27 to 851 of the family's 1533-position model. The record is from RNAcentral. Lineage: Bacteria; Pseudomonadati; Bacteroidota; Cytophagia; Cytophagales; Flectobacillaceae.